RNAcentral lists this RNase P RNA (286 nucleotides) under candidate division GN15 bacterium. RNAcentral describes it as "partial RNase P RNA component class A". It matches the Rfam family "Bacterial RNase P class A", at positions 87 to 367 of the family's 367-position model. From Rfam's summary of the family: Ribonuclease P (RNase P) is a ubiquitous endoribonuclease, found in archaea, bacteria and eukarya as well as chloroplasts and mitochondria. Its best characterised activity is the generation of mature 5'-ends of tRNAs by cleaving the 5'-leader elements of precursor-tRNAs. The record is from RNAcentral.
GGGCGGAGUGAUCCGACGGAAAGUGCCACAGAAACUAUACCGCCCGCCUGUGCGGGUAAGGGUGAAAUCGUGGUGUAAGAGACCACGGCCGACGCCAGAGAUGGCGCGGUGGGUAAACCCCGUCCGGAGCAAGGCCAAAUAGGGGAAGAAGGGUCUGGUUCGGCCUGUUAGUAUUCCCGGGUAGGUCGCUUGGAGGUUGCAGGCAACUGUCGCCCCAGAUAAAUGACUGUUGUGGUCCUCUUUUAUGAGGGCCUGACAGAACUCGGCUUAUCCUCCUGCUUUCGUG